CGUCGAGCCGUACGUUGCGUCGCGCGCGCGGAGAGCACGCGGCGCGCCGAUGACGCCGUGGUGAUAUGGUGCCGAGAGUUUCGCACCCGAGGCGCACGCCGCCGCGUUGCCGCUGCCGUGACUGCCGGACGAGGAUCGCCGCUGCGUCUCAGGUGUCGGCGGCGACGACACGCCGGGACCGACGUAUCCUGCCCGGCGGAACCACUACUUCGUGGUAAGUAGUGGUCUCCGAUCGUUUGAAAAGCGAGCGGCUCGGAGCCGCCGCACCGGACGGGAGAUAUGCGCAGCAAGCAGCAGCCCAGGCCUUCUUUCCGAUGGCCGCAGCAGCGCGGUGAUAACCUUACCGGGGAGGACGGCGUCGAAGGCUCUGCGCCCGGUACGGACCUCCAAGGUGAGGAGGGCGAUUGCGUCGACGAGGAUGGGCCCAUUAGCCCGAGCGAGCGGGGCUGCGCGCCCGCUGCGAAGGAGGACGAGGAUGCCGAGGGAACGGACGAAGAGGACGAUGAGGAAGCCUCGCCACCUACGCCCCCGCCUUCCACCACCUCGAGGUUAAACCCGACUAUCCUGCGGGACACGGGACCUCCGGAUAGGGAGCCAAUGAGUCCGCGCUGUCCUUCGAGAGAUUCUCGGGAAUCAUCCGGUCCGGCGACCGGAAGUCCCCCGCCACCUGCUACCAGGAGCAGCGCGAGCCCAGUCAGUCCAAGUAGUAUCGUGCCUCUACCCCUUGGAACUCACUCCCUGCUACCACCCCACUCUGCAGCGGUCAUGGCGGCGUAUCUGCAGCAGACCCAUCAGCGCCUCCUUCUCAGCCACUCGCCCUUGUCGCGUGGCUCGGUGUCGCCGUUGGUCUCCUCCUCGUGUUCGCCACCGGCCGCCACCCCCGGCCUCUUGGUGUCGCCCACCAGCAUCGGGGAGAUCUCGCCGUCGGCGACACCCCUGCCGGCCGUGCUGGACUUUAGCACGAGGAAAACGUCCUCGACCGAGGAGGACGAGGAGGAGCAGAUAUUAAAUCUCAGCAAACCACCUACGCCGUCUUCCUCGACGGAGACGAACAAUGGCCCGUUGGAUCUUUCGGUACCCAGCAGGAAACGACCCGGCCCGGAAGACUCGCCGCCGCCGCCGCCGCGCAAGUCAUCGAGACUGGCGUCCACGACGAGUUCCGCGAGCCAUCAGGAAACAGCACCGGGAGUCACGCCAUCCGGUUUCGGUAGACCGCCCGUCGUGUCUCCCUGGACGUCUCCGGUGGUGGCCUCGCACUUUCCGUACUUCGCCGCAGCGGUAGCGGCAGCAGCUACUAGUCAGCAGCAGCUCUCGCCGAAGAGCACCGGCGGAGUAGUGGAUCAUCAUCAGCUCUGGAACGGGAAGAUGAAGCCGCCAGCGGCGUUGGAGAAGCCCUAUCAACCUAGCGAAGCUACAAAGGCGCUCGAAAAGAUGAGCGAGCUGAGUAAAUUGGGCGGUGAGGAUCUUUACAGGUCCUCCGGGGGAGGAAGCGGCGCGACGGGUGCCAACGCGCCGGCGACAACGUCCAGCAGUCGUCACAGCGCUUGGCAGUCCCACUGGUUGAACAAAGGCGCCGAUCAAGCCAAGGACGUGCUAAAGUGCGUAUGGUGCAAACAGAGCUUCCCGACUUUGGCCGCGAUGACGACGCACAUGAAGGAGGCGAAGCACUGUGGCGUCAACAUGCCGGUACCACCGCCAGCGCCAGGGAUUCACUCGCAACAGACGACGAUGCCGAGCAUACCACCGCCUCAGCAGCCGCAUCAGCCGCAGACAUCCACCGGCAAUGCCGGCAGUAACAAUUCGGCCACACCUAGCAACAAACAAAGUCCAUCCGAUUUGAAUUUACUGAUUAAAGAAACGAUGCCACUACCGCGGAAGCUCGUGCGAGGUCAAGACGUCUGGCUGGGCAAGGGGGCUGAGCAAACGCGGCAGAUUCUCAAGUGCAUGUGGUGCGGCCAGAGCUUCCGCUCGCUGGCUGAGAUGACCUCACACAUGCAGCAAACGCAACAUUACACGAACAUCAUCUCGCAAGAACAGAUAAUAUCCUGGAAAUCAUCGGACGACAGCAAGGGCGGUAAUGCUACCGGUGGUGCCGCAGGUGGCGGAAGUGUCACCGGUGGAGGGGGCGGCGCAGGUGUACAGCCGGGCGGAGGGUCCGGACCUCAUGGCGGAAACAACGGCGGUCCCGGUGCAGGCGCCACGAGCAGUCACGUCAGCGCCGUGCUGACCUGCAAAGUAUGCGAUCAAGCGUUCAGCUCCCUAAAGGAGCUGAGCAAUCACAUGGUGAAAAAUUCGCAUUACAAGGAGCACAUAAUGCGCUCGAUCACCGAAAGCGGCGGACGUCGACGGCAGACGCGCGAGAAGCGGAAAAAGUCACUGCCCGUGAGGAAAUUGCUGGAGCUGGAACGCGCGCAGAACGAAUUCAAGAACGGCGACGCCGCCGCCGGGCUGACUCACAGCCUCGGCAAGCACGCCGGCAGAAUCACGUGCGAGAAGUGCGGCGACAAGAUAGAGACUCCGCUUUUCGUCGAGCACAUACGCCAGUGCAUCGGCGCGGGCACGGUGGGCGCCAAUCAGCGGAACUUUCUCAAGAACGCGCUCAUGUCCAAUCAUCUGUCCGCGACGUUACCGCCAACCGAAAGCGGACGCAAGAGCGUCAACGAGGAGACGUCUUCGAUAUCGUCGAGGCAUCACCGGUCUCCAUCCUCGGCCAGCGACGUGACGACACCGGGAAAAGAUACUCCUACACCGACCGCUAAUGAGACUACCGCUCCGAUAGGUACCUCGCCGUCGGUUUUGAACGCAAUAGAAAAGCUCAUCGAGAAGAGUUUCGAUUCUCGCGUGAGGCACGGCACGCCCGGCUUGCACCACGCUCAGCCCGGCGCCCCCAUAGGUACGAGCAUCCUCAAGCGUUUGGGUAUCGACGAGAGCGUGGAUUACACGAAACCUCUGGUGGAUCCGCAAACGAUGAAUCUGCUUCGAUCUUAUCAACAGCAGCAUCAGCAGCAGCAGCAUUACAACGCCAAUGUCGCGGCGAGAAGGGAACGGAGCGGCAGCGAGUCCAGUUCGAUAUCGGAGCGAGGAAGCGGCAGGACGGAUACCAUGACACCGGAGAGACGUAUUGACCUGUCUAACACGAGCCACGAGAGACAUUCUUCGAGUUCCCUGCCUCGCCAUCAUCGCGUCACUCCUGAGAAGCAGCCCACCCCGUUACCUAGUCGCCAUCAAACCGCGGAGGAAUCCGGAGACGAGGAGUCGCCUACCGUGGUGGUGAAGAAAGAACCGAGGGACGAGGAGACAGAGGAGCGAGGCGCGAACGAGGAGGAGCAACAGCAGUCGCAGUCGACGAGGGAGGUGUUCGUGAAGAAGGAAAUAGUAGACGACUGCAGAGACGAGGAGGAUCAGAGUUCCUACAAUCACCGACGAAGCAGCAUCCACGAGACGCCGGAGGAUGGACGAGAGGUGCUGUCACCUCGCAUGAAUCCACCUACGCCCCGGCCGACCAGCCAGGUGGAACAGGUCGCGCGUAGUCCUUGUAGGAACAGCACGAGCAGUCCUACCAGCAGCGACCGAUCGGUCACACCGCGGGGUACACCCGACACUAAGGCGUCGAGCAGUCUCGGGGCGCUCUCCUCCAUGUUCGACAGCUUGUCCGGCGGCGGCGGCGGCGGUGGCGGCGGCAACAACAUCGACUCGCAGGGGCGUAAAACAAGUAGCCAUCCACUCGCGGCGUUGCAGAAGUUAUGCGAUAAAACGGAAACGCGAGGUCCCGGCGCCAGCGGCUCCUCGAGAUCCGGGGGUGCUUCCACAGCUAGCACCAUCGGCUCGGGCAGCGGUAGCACGGUAGGGGCGACCGGCCCGGGUCCCGGGCCAACACCGGGUGCCAUCUUGGCUUUUAGCUGGGCCUGUAACGAUGCCGUGGUCACCGCGGAUUCAAUAAUGAAGUGUGCGUUCUGCGACACGCCCUUCAUUUCGAAAGGCGCGUACAGGCACCAUCUAUCCAAGAUGCAUUUCGUCAAGGACGGCGUCAUCCCGGAUCCACUGACCAUCGGCCGAUCGGCGGCAGCGGCCGCGGCCGCGGCCGCCGCGGCGGCUUCCCAGGGCACUUCCGGCGGACCGAGCCGCAAUUCCUCGUCGCCGCCGACGUCGCAGCGCAACAAGUCGCCGCCGAUUCCGCAGGCGAACGGCAGCCCGUCGCAGUCAGCGGCCUCACCCCUCGAGGAGAGCCCGCACUCCAAAUUUCUCAAGUAUACGGAGCUGGCGAAGCAAUUGUCCAGCAAAUACGUAUAGUCCGAGCCCCGUAAGUAGCGGUGCCAUUUGUACAUAAGUGUAUCUAUACUGUAACGACUGUAAAACUAGCGAUGUGAAAAUUUUCAUCCCCUUCCCCGCGAACACCGCCGCGCCGAACGACGUCGUCGCGCAUCCGACGUCUUCGGGUUUAUGCUUAAAGAGGCUGUGUCGUGGCUGAAACGAUCAUGGAAAAAGAGAUCCUAUAAUUAUUUCACGUUAUCAUCUAUGCAUUUCAAACAAAUCCUGUCGCGUAUAAGACGGGACGAAUCAAGUUGUAAUAUUCGUAGUUUUGAUCGUUAAUUUUCCACUGAUCAUACGAUAUAUAUUCACGGUAUAUAUUCAUAUAAAUUUAUCGAGUUUAAAUUUCGAUGCUGUAAAAACGAAAGAUGAUUUCUAUCAUUUAAAUGAAUAGAAAAAUCCUCUUUCGCACGUUUAUAGCACUGAAUAUUCAACCCCACUAAUUAUUACCUUUUAACUCUUCUUACAAUCUUCCGUAUGAUAAGCCUACAAUUAUUUGCUCAAGAACAAAUACAAGAAAAUAUAAAUAAUUGACAUGUGGGACAUUUAUAUCUGUCUGCUACAAGAAUUGAUCUUUAUCUAGUGGUAUAAAAAGAAUCAAUUCGUGAGACAUAACAUCAUAUUGCCAUUACAUAAUUUGAAAUACAUUACAAUUUUUUUUCAUAAAAUUAUGUAUUACAAUUAAAACAUAUUUUAUAAAAUGUGAUUCUUUAGAGAUAUAAAUUAUUUUGUUAAACGUGUACAUUUUUAUUUAUGUAAACAUAUACUAUUCUAAUAAAGCUUGUAAUUAAAAUAAUACAAAAUUUCUUACAUUUACAAUAUUAGCAAAUAAAGUGUAUUAAAUCUUCUUUUUUUUCAACAGAAUACUCUUUUCUUCAAUUUGACUUUUUGACACAAUCUUGGCAUUCUUUUCAUUAAUUUUUGCAUAGCUUCUUUCCCAACGUUAUACCCCUCCGUCUUCUCUCAAGCUUCUUAGAAUGUUCCAAAGAUCUUUAAAAAUAAAAUAUUACGUAUAGCUCUUCCGUAUAGUUCGAUUGGACUAAAAUCUGUCUGGCGACUAAGAAGACCUAUCCGUGUAUUUUGCAAAAUUCCUUCGCAUUUUUUCUAUUUCUAAGUACUUCUUACAGAGCUUGGAAGUUUUAGAUCAUUAUCCAUUUGCAUUAUGAAUUCCUUAUUUAUUAAUUCCUACUGAAAGAAUGGUAUAAUUUUCGAGAACUUCUUUGCACUGCCUUUUCUUGAAAAUAUUGAUUCGAUAUAUACCGUACAAUCUCUUCAUAGAAAAAUAUACGGAGGAACCCGUAGUUGAUCUGUCAAACUUAAGCAGGUUGCUCUUGUCACUGUACGAAAAAGCAAUUUAAUAAACUUUAUUUUUUAAUACUGAACAUAUACAUAUAUAUGUGUUUUUAAAAUAUAUGAAAAUCUAAAUCAGAUUCGUAAGAUCAACAUCAAUAUAAAUAAAAGGAGACAAAGAAAGUCAAAACCGGAUAUUCGUGCUAUGUUUAUAUAUUAGCCGGUAAUAUAAAUUCCAAAUUUGUUAGUAUUAAACAUAUAUAUUUUAUUUUUGUUUUAAUUUUAAAGCCUCGCCACUGCACUCUUUCAGCCUAAAUGUGGAUAUCUCCGUCGAAAAGACUUCGCCGUUGCGACGAUAUUAUUAUAGUAAGAGAUUUCGUUCACUCGCAGAAUAAAUACAAACGCAACGCGAUUCCUCUACGGUUUUUUUUUUUGACGAUCGUUUUAGUCGUAUCAUCGAGGACGCAUCUUAUCAUUCCUGGGUCGGUGACACGAUUAGCGUGCGUCACACAGACCCUUCAAAAAUUCUACAUCGGAGAGGGGGCCUCAAAUUCCGUUUUAUACACACCUCUCUCAUAAUUUCUUUUAUACAGAUCCCUCUCUUCUUUUCCCACUUACUAUAUUUUUAGUCGUUACGAGAAGAUUAUGCUCUAGAGUAGACCUGCGCGCGUAAUCGUUUGGAAUGUUUCCUUCUCGCUAUGGAAUCACGUGCAAACAUGGGGAACGUCGCGAGAGAAUUUCAGUUUUUUUUUUCGUCCUUGCUUUUCGCAGAAUUCCUCCUCGAUCGCAAUCGCUAUAGAGAUACGUGUCCAAAGUAGGACGCGCAUAACUUUGUACAAUCGACAUUUCCGUGUUGUUAAGACUUUCUCGCAGCACGUUUCGCCUUCCGUUUUUUCGUAUCACUUUCCUUCCAUCGGUAUGAGAAUUAAGGAAUUGUACCAGCGACUCUUACUUUCUUUCGUGCCCAAGGAACGUGAGAGGGUGUAACGAAGAUGUGGGUGUUGAACGAGCGUUAAUUAAAUUGUGAUGCCACCAUAUCUCGCGGCACUGCUGAGUCACGGGGCUCGGCACGCGGCCAAGUUUGUGAUUUUAUAAAUACUUAAGGACGUUUACGACGUGAGAUGAGCAAGAUCGCGACGAGACAAAGGAAACCGCAAAAAUUGAUUGGAACAAAGAGAAAUGGAUAGAGAGAAAGAGAGAGAGAGAGAGGGUGAGGUGGAGAAAGAAAAGAGAGAUGGAGAGCGAGAAAAAGAGAAGGCUUACCUAUCAUCUGUCGUAAGAUCGUCAGCAUGUAUACCUCUAGAUCAUAAGGCCGUAGUUUAUUAGCGCAUAGGAUAGGCUAGGGUUCGACCCUGUAUAGGAAUCUCUUUGUUGAUACUUAUUACUACGAAAAACCCGGUGAGUUUGCUCGCGGGGACGGACAAGAGCCGCCCCGGAGAGCGUUACGACUGCUGCGAAUCGAAGGUGUGUAGAGACACACGAGCGAUUGUAAAAGCGACAAGAGCCGAGAGGUGCGGAGACGCGGUGCAAUAGCGAAGCGAUUAAUUGAAUAAGUACACGCGAAUCGAAUGCAUAGAACAGUGGAGUGCGAGAGAGCGAGCGAAUGAGAGAGAGAGAGAGAGAGAGAGAGAGAGAGAGAGAGAAAGUGAAUGAGCGAGACAGAGAGAAAGAGACAAGUGUGGCAGAGAAAGAAUAGCUAUCGAAGAACGCAUGCUUUCUCGACGUAAAUGCGUAUGUGUAGAUCAUUGUAAAUUUUCUUUGUUCAAAUAAUAUUUAUUGCGUCUGUGAGCGAGCCAACGCGUCAUUUUACGUGUAAAAUAUUGUCAUUAUUAUCACUCGAAUAUCGCGACUACUGUGUAUAUUGAUUAUAUAAUUACGGUUAUUCUAGUACGAUGAUGCGUGGCGUGGUGAGUGUAGUGUUAAAUGCAGAGCACAGGGCGCGAGUGGAUCAGACGAAGACGCGAAUGUUGACGAGAGGUAACGCGUGUGUGUGUGUGUGUGUGUGAAUGUGUGCGUGUGUAUGUGUACGUACGUGUGCGCAUGUGUGGCCGUGUGUAUGUAUUUGCGAGAGGGGCGAGGGAUAGAAAGAUAGAGUGACAGUCUGAGAACGAGGAAGAAUGCUUCCGAGAGAUUGAGAGACUUAGAAGCAGACCGGAAAAGAUGGAGCAGCUGCGUGCGGCCCUCGACAACGAAGGCCGGAAAAGAACGGAACAUAACUUGUAUACGUAUUUCUUGUAAACUCUAAUUCUUCCAUCGCGGACUUUAAAAGUAUUUAUCGACAUAAUAAUAAUAUUAAUAUUAUUAUAUUGUAAUUAUAUACGACUGCUGAGAGUGUGAUGAACGUAAUGCGAGACGAUUACGUGGCUGCGACCAACACGACAUUACAUGUAUCCCUAUAUACACGCAUGUACACGACAACGCGCGCGCACGCAUACGUACACACGUGAGGACACGCGUACACCGUCGCAGUAACACUCGAGGAAAGGAACAGCCAGCCGUGCGAAUGAUACGCUCGAAACGUACCUACCUACUUACAAACACGCAACCACAAAGAUAUGCAUCAUGUAUACGCGACUCUUGAAACCAUUUUACCAGAUUUGUCAUUAUUUAAUUAUUUCGGUUGUAUUUUAAAAUGCAAUUAAAGCUCAAAUAAAUAUAUAUGUU
This is an RNA transcript of Vollenhovia emeryi, 8262 nucleotides long. It is a transcript of the gene named protein tiptop, with no coding region annotated. The record is from RefSeq and is a predicted model, not a curated record. Lineage: Eukaryota; Metazoa; Arthropoda; Insecta; Hymenoptera; Formicidae. The transcript has 5 exons.